AUGGUGUUUACUGCAUGUUUCUCAAUUAUUGCCGCCAUCAUCUAUAGUUAGCACUCAUGUCACUAAUGUGAUGAUGCAUUCAUGGAAAUUUGUUAAGUACUCCAUAUGGUAUUCAUGAUUCAAAUGUUAUUAGCUACUAAUUCUAUGUUCGAAGGUCUGCAUUGCUGAACAAGGCUAUGAGCCUAAGAAUUUAAAUGAGAAGUAGUAGCUAAUAACAAACUUUUCAAACAACAUGUAUAAAAUUUUGUAUUGUUGUUCUUGUUACCAGCAGGAGCACAGUAUUCCUAAAAAGCUAAAGGCAUCCGGGGAAAAGAAAACACAGGCUUGCUGCUCAGCCAGUCUUGCUUCACUUAUAAAAGAGUGAUUAACCAAGGAGAGUCAGUCAGAUGAAGGUAGUGCACUUUGCAAUGAUAAAUGCAA
Molecule: long non-coding RNA, 420 nt
Organism: Xenia sp. Carnegie-2017
Lineage: Eukaryota; Metazoa; Cnidaria; Anthozoa; Malacalcyonacea; Xeniidae
Exons: 2
Source: RefSeq, a predicted model, not a curated record